Molecule: ribosomal RNA, 491 nt
Filed under: uncultured bacterium
Lineage: Bacteria
Description: partial 16S ribosomal RNA
Rfam family: Bacterial small subunit ribosomal RNA
Source: RNAcentral
GACGAACGCUGGCGGCGUGCUUAACACAUGCAAGUCGAACGGAAAGGCCCUGCUUGCAGGGUACUCGAGUGGCGAACGGGUGAGUAACACGUGGGUGAUCUGCCCUGCACUUCGGGAUAAGCCUGGGAAACUGGGUCUAAUACCGGAUAGUACCCUCGUUUAGUGUCGGUGGUGGAAAGUUUUUCGGUGCAGGAUGAGCCCGCGGCCUAUCAGCUUGGUGGUGGGGUAAUGGCCUACCAAGGCGUCGACGGGUAGCCGGCCUGAGAGGGUGGACGGCCAAAUUGGAACUGAGACACGGCCCAGACUCCUACGGGAGGCAGCAGUGGGGAAUAUUGCACAAUGGGCGCAAGCCUGAUGCAGCGACGCCGCGUGGGGGAUGAAGGCCUUCGGGUUGUAAACUCCUUUCAGCCAUGACGAAGCUGGCCUUGUUGGGUCAGUGACGGUAGUGGUAGAAGAAGCACCGGCUAACUACGUGCCAGCCGCCGCCGUAA